AUACGGAGGGUGCAAGCGUUGUUCGGAAUUACUGGGCGUAAAGCGUGCGUAGGCGGCCUUGUAAGUCGAAUGUGAAAGCCCUGGGCUCAACCCAGGAAUUGCAUCCGAUACUGCAGGGCUUGAGUAUGGGAGAGGGAAGCAGAAUUCCUGGUGUAGCGGUGAAAUGCGUAGAUAUCAGGAGGAACACCUGUGGCGAAAGCGGCUUCCUGGCCCAUUACUGACGCUGAGGCACGAGAGCGUGGGGAGCAAACAGGAUUAGAUACCCGAGUAGUCC
Molecule: ribosomal RNA, 274 nt
Filed under: uncultured bacterium
Lineage: Bacteria
Description: partial 16S ribosomal RNA
Rfam family: Bacterial small subunit ribosomal RNA
Source: RNAcentral